UACGUAGGGGGCAAGCGUUGUCCGGAAUCAUUGGGCGUAAAGAGCGUGUAGGCGGUCCGGUCAGUCGGUUGUGAAAGUCAAGGGCUCAACCCUUGAAUGCCGGCCGAUACUGCCGGACUAGAGUCCGGAAGAGGUGAGUGGAAUUCCUGGUGUAGCGGUGAAAUGCGCAGAUAUCAGGAGGAACACCGAUGGCGAAGGCAGCUCACUGGGACGGUACUGACGCUGAGACGCGAAAGCGUGGGGAGCAAACAGG
This 253-nucleotide ribosomal RNA is filed under the name uncultured bacterium. RNAcentral's name for it is "partial 16S ribosomal RNA". It matches the Rfam family "Bacterial small subunit ribosomal RNA", at positions 524 to 776 of the family's 1533-position model. The record is from RNAcentral.